Molecule: long non-coding RNA, 805 nt
Organism: Misgurnus anguillicaudatus (oriental weatherfish)
Lineage: Eukaryota; Metazoa; Chordata; Actinopteri; Cypriniformes; Cobitidae
Source: RefSeq, a predicted model, not a curated record
AGUGGUCAGAUUAGUGAGUAGCAUUUUCUAUAAAAACAAGUUGGUUUCCAGUUCCAGACCAGGACUUUAAUGGAAUUCAAAAUGAGAAGAAAUGAAUGCCAGCCAUAAGAAGCUUUUAAGCAGCUCAAGAUUUCUCUUUAAGAGAUCCUGGCUCUUGCAGGUAAAUCCUAAAUUUAGCAUCCGGAUGAACAUCGAGGAUGAAGGCUUUUCUGGCUGGCUGCUCCCAAUAAUCACCUGCUAGAGAAAAUCUCAUUGUUCCAAGCCCUGAUCUCCGUGCAAAGGGCAGAAGAGCAGCUAUGGCUCAGGUUGAAUUAAAACUCUGACCUGUGCUAUAAUCAAGCAUAGCUGAACUGUGGGUCAGUGGCAGCACAGAUAAAACCGAAAGACCUGACAAUCCCAAACCCUUGCUGGAGCCAGUUAAGGGCUAGGGACCAGAUUGCUAUCCAGCAGGUCAAGGAGCUGAUUAACCAUCAAAACACCCCGGGCUAAGGCAUUCGUGAUGAGCAUAUCAUGAAUCUGAUGAAAUCAUUUGCAUCAAAUGCUUUAUAUAUGUUGAUAUAUGCCAGUAAACUAAGUAUUGACUGCCACGGGGCUUCUGUGAACUCGCAGGUCAGAAGUCUGGGAUGAUGAUGUUUUCAUCAUUGCUCAUCAAAGCACUAAAAGCUGACAUAUGCGAGGUUUGUAAAAUAAAUGAACAUAAUAUGCAUGAACUGAGUCACUCAGAUGUCUGCAUUAUAUCACAACAUAGAAGUUAUGACUGCUUAUUAAUGUAUAAAUAUCCGCAUUGUAUGUCAAACUUACCCUA